Molecule: ribosomal RNA, 585 nt
Filed under: uncultured bacterium
Lineage: Bacteria
Description: partial 16S ribosomal RNA
Rfam family: Bacterial small subunit ribosomal RNA
Source: RNAcentral
UGGGGAAUUUUGGACAAUGGGCGAAAGCCUGAUCCAGCAAUGCCGCGUGUGUGAAGAAGGCCUUCGGGUUGUAAAGCACUUUUGUCCGGAAAGAAAUCCUUGGCUCUAAUACAGUCGGGGGAUGACGGUACCGGAAGAAUAAGCACCGGCUAACUACGUGCCGGCAGCCGCGGUAAUACGUAGGGUGCAAGCGUUAAUCGGAAUUACUGGGCGUAAAGCGUGCGCAGGCGGUUUGCUAAGACCGAUGUGAAAUCCCCGGGCUCAACCUGGGAACUGCAUUGGUGACUGGCAGGCUAGAGUAUGGCAGAGGGGGGUAGAAUUCCACGUGUAGCAGUGAAAUGCGUAGAGAUGUGGAGGAAUACCGAUGGCGAAGGCAGCCCCCUGGGCCAAUACUGACGCUCAUGCACGAAAGCGUGGGGAGCAAACAGGAUUAGAUACCCUGGUAGUCCCACGCCCUAAACGAUGUCAACUAGUUGUUGGGGAUUCAUUUCCUUAGUAACGUAGCUAACGCGUGAAGUUGACCGCCUGGGGAGUACGGUCGCAAGAUUAAAACUCAAAUGAAUUGACGGGGUCAUAGCUGUUUCC